CACAAGCAGCCAUUUUGGAACAUUGUAUUUUCACUCGCAGAGUNAGCNUAAAAGCAGCUUCUUUUGAUAGAAAAAUAUGGCUUCGAGAAAAGCAGAGAGACCNGAGAUAAAUUUCGUUCAUCAAAAUGCAAUUUUGUGUGAAACGAUUCAAAAAGAACAGAGAAAUCAGCAACUAUAUACGAACUAUAGCGUGAAUCCCUUCAAGAAAAUGUAUACCUUGACUGGGAAGCCUAAUUCAGAGCAUGAUUCGGCAGAUGGAGAAGAAGACGAUAAUUUUCUUAGAGUCAUAAANAGAGCACAUAAAACACCAGUACAGAAGUUUGAAUUCCCUCAGACAUCUGCACAAGAAUACGGCUGGAAUACAGAUCCACUGAUUGACAAGACAUGGUANGAUCAACGUCUACAUCAUCCAAGAACCCAUUCAGAAAUCACUAAAUACAUGGACGCAGCNUGGAGGGUUAAAGAACAGUCUGAGAAUAUGAACUAGUAUUUUGGGAAUACAAUGAAUUUGUUUGUAAAUAGUUUUCUAUUGUAAAUUGUUUUUUCUCUGCACUGUACAAACAAGCUACAUUUUAGUNUUUUUUAAUUGAAUAAAGGAAAAAUUUUAACUAGAAAUUACAAAUUCACAAUGUCAAUUGGGAAUGAGAGGGUUGCUUUUCUUUUUCUUUGUAAAUUCAGUUUCAGUGCAGUCUUUUCAUNGAAUAAAGAGAAUGAUUACAAUAAAUAAA
Molecule: unclassified non-coding RNA, 728 nt
Filed under: Exaiptasia diaphana
Lineage: Eukaryota; Metazoa; Cnidaria; Anthozoa; Actiniaria; Aiptasiidae
Description: protein FAM183B, transcript variant X1
Source: RNAcentral